Molecule: ribosomal RNA, 460 nt
Filed under: uncultured bacterium
Lineage: Bacteria
Description: partial 16S ribosomal RNA
Rfam family: Bacterial small subunit ribosomal RNA
Source: RNAcentral
CCUACGGGAGGCAGCAGUGAGGAAUAUUGGUCAAUGGACGCGAGUCUGAACCAGCCAAGUAGCGUGCAGGAUGACUGCCCUAUGGGUUGUAAACUUCUUUUAUAUGGGAAUAAAAUGGUCCACGUGUGGCCCUUUGUGUGUACCCUAUGAAUAAGGAUCGGCUAACUCCGUGCCAGCAGCCGCGGUAAUACGGAGGAUCCGGGCGUUAUCCGGAUUUAUUUGGUUUAAAGGGUGCGCAUGUGGGUUGUUAAGUCAGUUGUGAAAGUUUGCGGGUCAACCGUAAAAGUGCAGUUGAAACGGGCAGUCUUGAGUACAGUAGGGGUGGGCGGAAUUCGUGGUGUAGCGGUGAAAUGCUUAGAUAUCACGAAGAACUCCGAUUGCGAAGGCAGCUCACUGGAGUGCAACUGACGCUGAGGCUCGAAAGUGUGGGUAUCAAACAGGAUUAGAUACCCUGGUAGUC